Long non-coding RNA from Heterocephalus glaber (naked mole-rat), 4576 nucleotides. Lineage: Eukaryota; Metazoa; Chordata; Mammalia; Rodentia; Bathyergidae. The record is from Ensembl.
GUGGGAGGCUGCUCCCCAGCCCUUACCCACUGUCCCGGGCCACCACCCGUGCCCAGGGUGACAUGUCCCAAGGACACGCCGGUCCUCGCUCACCUGUAUCAGCCGCGGGGGCAAAGAGCUGCUCUGAGCCCACAGACGCCUGGGGAGAGAAGAGGUUCAGGGCCAGGGCUGGGGUGAGCUAGGCCCUCAAAGCCCCUCCCCACCAACAAGUCCCAGGUGGCCCAGCGUCUGGCCAGGUGACCGCUGUGAGGCAGGAGCCCACCAUGUGACAGCACGUGGCAGAGAUGUUCUUGUGACAUCCGAGCAACACUGUGCGAGUGCACCAGUGUCCGUGGAUUGUGACCUGGGCUCCGGAGGACCCUGCAGCAGCUCUGGAGGACAAGCUCAGUGACAGUGGCCCCAGAUGGCUCUUUUCCGUCUAGUUUCCUUUCUGUCAAGCAGCUGCAUUGAGGCAUGGGCUGCACAUGUCCCCUCAGAAUCCACCCGGAGAGCCCCGCUCCUAAGGUGACGGUGCUGGGCCCUGGGAGGUGGGUAGGUCGAGGCCAGAGGCCUGGAGUUUGCUGUCCCAGCCCCGGACGCAGCGAGCAGCAGCGUGCCAAACACCAGCUCUUUGGAGCCUCCGGCUUCUUCUCCCACUCCCACUCCGGACAGCAAGAACAAGCUGUUGCCAGUCCCCAGCACGCCAUCAUGGCAGCCCCAGCAGACCAAGGCCCAGAGACGUGGUUCCCGCUACCACGGAGCCACCGCCCACGCAGACUCAACUCAGAGACUUAGGGGCCUCACAGAGCAGCACACCCAUCACCACAGCAGCCACAGGGCCUCUUCAUCACCCCAGAGAGACCCUGGCUGUCCAGCUUCCAUCCCAGGCCCCCGGCACUGGGUCUCCGUGCAUCACGUCACAGGCCUUGUGGGGACGGCUCUGGCACUGAGUUCUGCCCCGUGGCAGGGAGCCUGGAUGGGGGCAUCUCACAGUACCUGUGGGUGGAUGUGCACACAUCUGUAUACGUGUCUGCAGGUGUGCAGACACUCACGCUUACCCACGUGUGCUUAUGCAUUUUCAUACACCCAUGUUCAUGUGCCUGUGUGUACACAGAUAACAGGAGACCACGCGUGAUACGUGCAUGUGUGUGGCUGUGUACAAGACACCUAGGUACACAAAGUGACAUCUGUGCGUGUACCUGUGUCUAGGCCAGCAAGCCUUAGGGACAGCGUGGAGGACACGUGCCCAGCUGGGGAAAGAUGGGGCUGGGGCCUCAGAGACUCAGCCUCACCUCUCCUGAGUCUUUCACAGGAGACAAGCCAGUGACCACUCUCGUGGAUCAAACCGUGACAACAAAAGUACUACACGGAUGGAGAGGGACAGCAAGGUCUGCCCUGCAUGUGGGUGUUGGGGGCACGAGGGGCAUGAGGGCACUCCUUGCCCCAAUUCAGAGGAGGGCACUUCGCCCAGGAGCCGCACAUAAAGGUUCAUGCCGGCCAUGCCGUGGGGCAGUGCCAAUCCCAUCCCGGCCGGGCAGGAUGGCUCUCCAUGCCCGAGGGAGCCCAGGGCCCUGCUCUGCCCAAGGCAUGCAGGGACAGUGGCACAGCAGGGUCUCUGGCCUUUGGCAUCUACCAGAGGCAGAGCAGGGUGCCCAGCUGCACCAUGGGCCACCUUGGCAUGGCCAGGAGGGGCUGUGGACACGCGCAGCACACUGGCCUCCAGAAGCCGGGCCCCACCCAUGGGUGUCACAGGCCCAUCCAAUGGGGCAUCUCACAGUCUGGGAGCUACAGUGCAGAAGAAAGCAAUGAGACAUGGCUACCAGGUCUGCAGGGGAGGCGAGCAGAACAGAAAAGGAGGCUCCAAAGUCCACCUGGGUCCAGGCUAGGCCUCAGCAUGAGGUGGGCACAGAGGUGUGUGUGUAGGUUGUCCAUUCCACGGGGUGAGAAGCAGCUUGAUGCUCAGGAAAAGGUUAAGUGAGCUAGGCGAUGUGGCCCUUGCCUGGAAAUCCCAGCUACUUGGGAGGCUGAGGCAGGAGGACCUCAGGUUUGAGGCCGCCUUGGCAACUCCAGCCAGACCCUGUCUCAAAAUAAAAAGAAGGGCUGGGAUGUAGCUCAGUGGUAUAGCACCUGUGGCUUCUACCCUCAGUACUAUACACAGAACAGGUGAAGUGAGAGUCCCGAUUCUCCCCCCACAUCAACCAUCAACCAUCCAGACAGGGCAGACACAAAAGAAAUGCAGCAUUGUGACCAGAUGCUUUACCGCCUGCUGGGACAGGGCACACACAGCCCUAGGAGAGCUGGGACCUGCAGGACACGGAAACGGCUGCUUCCUGCUUUCUUAAGACUGCUGCGCACCGACCAUGAGGCCCGUGCUCAGGGCCCCAGCACCCUCAGCACCCCCCGCACAGGCCCCUGGGUUCCAGCCUUACCUGCGGGCUCUUGUGGGCGAGGGGUCUGCCCGGCCAGGGUAGGUGGGCAGGGGCCGCAGCUCACCCUCCAGCUCUGAACUCGGGGUGUGACCUCUGUCAGGGAGGGGCUUCUGCUUCAGAGCAGCUUGGGUCCUGGCCCUUUCAGGGGUCCCAGAUAGUGGCACCAAGGCCCAGCAGUCCCUGAGUCGUGUCAUGCACAGGCAAGGGUGUCCACACGACACCCCAAGAAGGGAAGCUCCAGCAGCUGGAGAGCUGCCUGCCAGGGAUAGCUGCCCCAGGGCGUCCCUGCAGCCUCAGAGGCUGACCUUCCUGUGGUCCCUGGAGGCUGUGGUCAUCCCUGGGGCAGGCCUGGGUACUUGAGUGACAGCUCCUGUCUCUUAAAUCCUUAGAACCGAGUCAGGGCAGCUGCGCCCACUGAGAACCUCCCAGGGCCUGGACUAAAGACUCUGGGUGGCUGUGGCCCCACCCCAGGGAUCCUACACUCAGGGCUGUCAUGGUUCCCACUGGGGCCCUGACUUAUCCCUCCUGGCCGGGAGGCCACCCACCCCUUCCUCGGCCCAGCUGCCUCCUCCUCCGCAGCUGGGCAGCAGCCCUGGGUGGGGGUGCAGGAGGACAGCGGGGUGCUGUGGCCAGCAGCUGCAUGUGCUCACGAGCCUGGCGUGUGGGGGUCUGGGUAUGUGGCCGCCUCUGCCAGGAGUUCUGGGCUAACUGCCCAAGUGCCUCGGGUCCCAGCAGCACACAGCCAUCGCUCCCAGCACGGAGGGGGCGACGGAGAAGCGUGCGGUCCGGGGAGCCAGCCCUGGCCAGGUGCAGGGGCUGCGGGCUCCCCGUACCUCGUCCAGGUCCCACACAGGGGAUCCAAGCUCAACUUCUCAGGUGGAGCAGUGGGUGUCCAGGACCCGCACAUGGCGCCCCCUGACUCGAGGGAGGCCAAAGGGGUGGCCAGGAGAGGCAGGGUCCCCCACCCAGUUCUCCGAGGCCCCGCCCCCGCCCCGCCCACGGCAGAGGCCGCGCCGGACCGGUGCCCGCAGGGGUCCGGGCGGGACCUGGCCGGCUCCGAGCCACGCGGCUGGACACUGGGUCACUGUCGGGGAAGCUCCCAGGUAGCAGCCCCGUCCCGGCACAGGCACAGAGGCGCCCUCGCCCUCCCCGGCCCGCCUGGCAACUUCCCCGCCUUCACAGGCGCCGGACGGUCGCGGGCGGGGGUCCCGGCGCUUUGUCUUCGAGGCGCCGAACGCAGCCGCCCUGCGCCGGACAAAGAACUCAACUCCGCAGGAGGCCUGCUGCUCCUCUGAAGACCCUGCAGCUCACCCUACAGACCUCCACCAGGCCAGAGAGGCUGCCAAGGGAAGGACGGGGGCCUCCUAAGACCCCUAGGAAGAUGCUCAAGGCAACGUCACACACAGGAAAACCUUGCAAGCAGCAGGAAUGGAAGUGGCUGGGCCACUCCUUGUGGGGUGGCUGAGGAGAGCAGGUACCCGACACCCCGCUGGCAGGGUGGGGUUCUCCAGGACCCUGCAGUGGGCCAGCUGCCCAGGGGAUGAGGUCACAUGACAGGAGACCGGCCCUGGCUGCUGCAUCCACCCGUCCGAGUCUCUGUCCAUGGCCCGUGCAGUUCUCAGCAACAGGAGACUCGGAGGUGGCCCCAGGAGCCCUGCUUCAGAGCGAAGAAGAUGGGGUCCACAGCCCCCAGAGAGCAGGGCACCAGGGAGGGUUGGGGCUGCUGCAGGCCCCCGGCUGGCUGGCACCCCCAGUGGCCGGGUAUGCACACCCACUCUGGUGCCCUAACCCUCCUGCCAGCUCCACAGGGUCCCCUCACACAGUGCCCGAGGCCAAGGGACCCUAGAACUGUGGAGCUGGACCUGUGCUGCUGUCCCACAGCAGGACCUUGGCAGAGUCCCGGGGCACUCUUCCAGGGCCACCCUGUCCCAGCCCCUGGCUGAGCUCAGGCACCUCCUGUGAGUGUCCAGGCUGCAGGCAGAUCACGCCCCAGAGGCAGCUGUGGCCACGGGCAAUGGAGAGGCCACCUGGUCAGGCAUCAGCAGGCAGCCAGGCCCCGGCUGCUGGGGGAGCCCGCGCACCACUGCCUCCCAUAAUUUCCAGUGAAAAAGCAGUUAGACACCGACUGCAGCCUUGGGGAGGGCCUUUUGGUGGUGUCCUGCAGCCCG